UAAGCACGUCAUCUGUCUGAUGCAGUCGAGCGGUAACAGGGGUAGCUUGCUACCCGCUGACGAGCGGCGGACGGGUGAGUAAUGCUUGGGGAGCUGCCCGAUAGAGGGGGAUAACAGUUGGAAACGACUGCUAAUACCGCAUAACCUCUUCGGAGUAAAGCGGGGGACCUUCGGGCCUCGCGCUAUCGGAUGCGCCCAAGUGGGAUUAGCUAGUUGGUGAGGUAAUGGCUCACCAAGGCGACGAUCCCUAGCUGGUCUGAGAGGAUGAUCAGCCACACUGGAACUGAGACACGGUCCAGACUCCUACGGGAGGCAGCAGUGGGGAAUAUUGCACAAUGGGCGAAAGCCUGAUGCAGCCAUGCCGCGUGUAUGAAGAAGGCCUUCGGGUUGUAAAGUACUUUCAGCGAGGAGGAAAGGGUGUACGUUAAUACCGUGCAUCUGUGACGUUACUCGCAGAAGAAGCACCGGCUAACUCCGUGCCAGCAGCCGCGGUAAUACGGAGGGUGCGAGCGUUAAUCGGAAUUACUGGGCGUAAAGCGCAUGCAGGCGGCUGAUUAAGCCAGAUGUGAAAGCCCGAGGCUCAACCUCGGAAUAGCAUUUGGAACUGGUCAGCUAGAGUUCUUGAGAGGGUGGUAGAAUUUCAGGUGUAGCGGU
This 654-nucleotide ribosomal RNA is filed under the name Paramoritella sp. KR05-59. RNAcentral's name for it is "bacterial SSU rRNA". It matches the Rfam family "Bacterial small subunit ribosomal RNA", at positions 36 to 682 of the family's 1533-position model. The record is from RNAcentral. Lineage: Bacteria; Pseudomonadati; Pseudomonadota; Gammaproteobacteria; Alteromonadales; Moritellaceae.